This 1169-nucleotide long non-coding RNA is filed under the name Sus scrofa (pig). RNAcentral's name for it is "lncRNA (ENSSSCG00015068532.1)". Lineage: Eukaryota; Metazoa; Chordata; Mammalia; Artiodactyla; Suidae. The record is from RNAcentral.
UUUUUUUUUUUUUAAUUGUUCAAUCCUGUAAACAAAAAACCUCCUCCAGAGGAGAAAAAAAUGCUAGAAAAAAUGCUUGCCAAGCAAACUCUCAAGAUGAGAGUGAUUUAACACUUUUUCAGAGACUAACGCUGUCUGGGGCUUUCACCUUCAAACAGAGACCACGUCUGUUCGGGCACCGCCGUGCCUGUGGGCUUGGAAUGCCAGGGUUACAUAAUUUAAAAUUGAGUGGCACUUGUGGUAUUUGGCCACCCAGAGCCAAGUCUGACAUGCUUUUAAGGUGGUUUGGGUAGAGGGUGGCAAGAACGUUAUGUUCUGCUCAAAGAAAUCACAUCAAGGGACCUGUCGGCUCUAAAGAGCAUGGGCCACCACGCUUUGUCCCCACCUCAGCCCCCGGCAGGUGCCAAAGGCCCCCUGAUCCUUCCCUCUUCUCAUAGGCUUCAGUGAAAGGGUUUUGAAGGUGCUGGCUCUCCCCCUGUAGGAAUAAUUGGAGUGUUUGUCAACAAACUCUAACUCCAAAGAUGGUAGGGACAACCCCAGAGGAGUUCCAGAAUAUAAGGACUUCUUGAAAUGAUGGGCAACUCUGAAGCAUUCGUAAUCUAACUGGAGCUUGUCCUGGAAACGGAGGGACACAGUGUUUGUCUGAACAUCCCCAAGCAAGUUGGUCCAUCACACUGGUCGCUAUGUGGCGACAAAGUAAUGAGCCUGUCAAGAGUCUUUUGUGUAAUUGGUCUCCUGAUGCCAUACACGAAGCCUUAUUCAUUGAAACUUGAACAAAACUAAGUAUCUUUAGUCUGCCUUGACAUUACAUUGGAUUUUCAAAUGCAAUGUAUUUAUAUUAGUAAAAUCUGAUGCUAAUUUAAUGAGACUGACCAUUUCUUCAUUUCAGAACUAGUCGUUAAGAAGUCGGCCAUUGGGGUUGCCACCAUGGCUCAGCAGAAAUGAAUCUGACUAGCAUCCAUGAGGAUGCAGGUUUGAUCCUGGCCUUGCUCAUGGGUUAAGGAUCUGGCAUGGUAGUGAGCUCUGGUGUAGGUUGCAGAUGCAUCUUGGAUCUGGCGUUGCUGUGGCUGUGGCGUAGGCCAGUGGCUAUAGCUCCGAUUGGACCCCUAGCCUGGGAACUUCCAUAUGCCGUGGGUGCAGCUCUAAAAAGACAAAAAAAAAAAAAAAAA